Molecule: ribosomal RNA, 253 nt
Filed under: uncultured bacterium
Lineage: Bacteria
Description: partial 16S ribosomal RNA
Rfam family: Bacterial small subunit ribosomal RNA
Source: RNAcentral
UACGGGGGGGGCAAGCGUUGUUCGGAAUUACUGGGCGUAAAGGGCUUGUAGGCGGCCAACUAAGUCCGACGUGAAAUCCCCAGGCUUAACCUGGGAACUGCGUCGGAUACUGGAUGGCUUGAAUUCGGGAGAGGGAUGCAGAAUUCCAGGUGUAGCGGUGAAAUGCGUAGAUAUCCGGAGGAACAUCGGUGGCGAAGGCGGCAUCCUGGACCGGUAUUGACGCUGAGGCGCGAAAGCCAGGGGAGCAAACGGG